CUGCAGUAGUUACCAGCCAGCUGUCUGGCCUUCCCAUCUGCUGUGAGGCACCACCCACGAGCGAGGCAGCAGAAGAGAAGAAAUGCACUUGUGGAGCAGUGGAUGAGGCCAAGCCUGCAGAAGAACAAUUUCCAGCACUUACUGCACCUGCCAACCUGCGGAGCUUUUGGGCAGCACUUGACUCUGUGGCAUGAAAAUAUGGAGUAUUUGUCCCUUACAAACAUGUCUGUGCUGUGACACAGACUUAAGGAAACUGGUCUUGUAUGUCUGUGGUUUUUUUGGAGGUGAGUGGGAGACAACUCCAAUAUUUAAUUAUCUGCUCCAGCAAUCCUUGACAUCAGCUGAUCACCUAAUAUUACCAGUUGGAGGUUGGGAUUUAAUUUUAUUGAUGGUACAGUCAUCUCUGAAGACUCAUUGUCUAGGAAACAGUGGACUAGCUUUACACGUGGCAUGGUUUGGAGCCGCAGGGGGAGUAGAGCUGCCGCGGCCGGGCCAGCCACCUCCGGGUCCAUGAGCCGCCGCCAGCCGCCGUCGCCAGCCGGGACUGCCGCCACCGCCGGGCCCAGCUCCCCCAGCCCCGCCGCCGCUUCCGCCGCCGCUCCGCCGCCCUGUCGGAGGUGAGUCCCGCGGCCGGGCCCGCCGCCGCCCGCUCUCUUCAACGCCGCCCGCGGGCCCCGGUUCCUGUCA
This 687-nucleotide long non-coding RNA is filed under the name Aquila chrysaetos chrysaetos. RNAcentral describes it as "lncRNA (ENSACCG00020008755.1)". The record is from RNAcentral. Lineage: Eukaryota; Metazoa; Chordata; Aves; Accipitriformes; Accipitridae.